AAGGGUAUAGCUUAGUGGUAGAGCACAUGCUUAGCAUGCACGAGGUCCUGGGUUCAAUCCCCAGUACCUCUA
This 72-nucleotide transfer RNA is filed under the name Camelus bactrianus (Bactrian camel). It matches the Rfam family "tRNA". Rfam says of the family: Transfer RNA (tRNA) molecules are approximately 80 nucleotides in length. Their secondary structure includes four short double-helical elements and three loops (D, anti-codon, and T loops). The record is from Rfam by way of RNAcentral. Lineage: Eukaryota; Metazoa; Chordata; Mammalia; Artiodactyla; Camelidae. RNAcentral also lists the same sequence under 2 other names.